RNAcentral lists this non-coding RNA (26 nucleotides) under Homo sapiens (human). Lineage: Eukaryota; Metazoa; Chordata; Mammalia; Primates; Hominidae. The record is from RNAcentral.
UGACAUUGGGUCAUGUGGCUUUACUC